CUGAUGCGUUGUUGGGUAGGGGAGCGUUCUGUAAGCCUGCGAAGGUGGCCUGUGAGGGUUGCUGGAGGUAUCAGAAGUGCGAAUGCUGACAUAAGUAACGAUAAAGCGGGUGAAAAGCCCGCUCGCCGGAAGACCAAGGGUUCCUGUCCAACGUUAAUCGGGGCAGGGUGAGUCGACCCCUAAGGCGAGGCCGAAAGGCGUAGUCGAUGGGAAACGGGUUAAUAUUCCCGUACUUGGUGUUACUGCGAAGGGGGGACGGAGAAGGCUAUGUUGGCCGGGCGACGGUUGUCCCGGUUUAAGCGUGUAGGUGUGUGUUCCAGGUAAAUCCGGUU
RNAcentral lists this ribosomal RNA (332 nucleotides) under Salmonella enterica. Its description in RNAcentral is "partial 23S ribosomal RNA". It matches the Rfam family "Bacterial large subunit ribosomal RNA", at positions 1213 to 1547 of the family's 2925-position model. Lineage: Bacteria; Pseudomonadati; Pseudomonadota; Gammaproteobacteria; Enterobacterales; Enterobacteriaceae. RNAcentral also lists the same sequence under 3 other names. The record is from RNAcentral.